RNAcentral lists this ribosomal RNA (235 nucleotides) under uncultured bacterium. Its description in RNAcentral is "partial 16S ribosomal RNA". It matches the Rfam family "Bacterial small subunit ribosomal RNA", at positions 104 to 334 of the family's 1533-position model. The record is from RNAcentral.
CGGGACGGGGUGGAGUAAUGUCUGGGAAACGUCUCGAUGGAGGGGGAUAACUACUGGAAACGGUAGCUAAUACCGCAUAACGUCGCAAGACCAAAGAGGGGGACCUUCGGGCCUCUUGCCAUCGGAUGUGCCCAGAUGGGAUUAGCUAGUAGGUGGGGUAACGGCUCACCUAGGCGACGAUCCCUAGCUGGUCUGAGAGGAUGACCAGCCACACUGGAACUGAGACACGGUCCAG